This 1222-nucleotide long non-coding RNA is filed under the name Pogona vitticeps (central bearded dragon). Its description in RNAcentral is "lncRNA (ENSPVIG00000024686.1)". The record is from RNAcentral. Lineage: Eukaryota; Metazoa; Chordata; Lepidosauria; Squamata; Agamidae.
GAGUAGACAUACAGGAGUUGCAUUGAAAAGCGCAAGAGACUAAAUAUUUCUUUUCCUCCCCUUGAAAUCCGUACCUUCUCCUACAUGCAUUGCCAUGUUAUUAUUAACAGUGAUCUUUAAGGAAAUCAUUGCCAAGCGACUAAGACAUGCAAAAACAGCCACACGGGUUGAUUUGAAGACUAUCUACAGAAAAACUUUCGCCGGCUUGUGACGCAACCUUCCUCACCCAAUCCCAUUCAUUCGCCUUUCACUCAUUCAUUCAUUCAUUCCUUUUUCUUGCUGCCCUAAGAGCGCAUGCGCCGCAGGGCCUCUCAAGGAGGCGGGGCGUCCCUUCGUCGCCCCGCCUCUCGGGUCGCCACGGCAACAGGCAGCGCGUCCCGCUUCGGAUUCCCGGGCCUUCCCGGCCAAGGAGGGCGGCGGGAGGACGACGGAGUGGAGCCGAAUGGCGCGGGAGGUGAAGGGACCCAAGCCGUUCUCGAUCGCCUUCAGGGCCACAUUUCCCAAACCAAAUGUCGCUGCAAAGCAACUUAUAUCCUGGAGAAAUGAAGAACAAAAGCGCCAUGAAGCUGCAAUGUAUGCCAAGGCCCAUCUCCUCGGCCGUCAGAUCAAUGAAAGGGAAGAGCUGGAUGAACGCAGACAGCUGGAUCGGCUUGUCCAGAAGAGGGUUGAUGCUGAAAUGCAGGCCUAUUUAGCAGGAGAAGAAGAGAGGAGGGAGAGGUAACAUAAACUGCCUCAACAAGCUGGUGACUCUGCACAUGAAGACAGACUUUGCUUUUAAAGUACAGUAGGACUCCCAUAUCUGCAGGGGAUCACUUCCAGCCCGCCCAGGGAUGCUAAAAAAUGCAGAUUAUCGUGAACAUGAUUCAUUGCAUGGUCUCUGGCUUCCUUUAGUGGCCAGUUGUCAUAAUGAGAUAUUUAAAAAUAUAUAUUUUUAUGAUUUAUCUUUUAAUAUUUUUAAUAUGUUCAAGCUGUGGAUAAGUGAAUCAGCGGAUACUGAUCCCACAGAUAAGGAGGUCCUAAUGUACUUUUAAUAUGGUGAUUGUGUACUUUUGGUUCUGCAGAUGUUGGUGAACUCCAAGUCCCAGCAGCUCCAGCCCCCCUAGCAAGUGGUGAGGGAUGUAUAGCAAGGUAAAGAUUUGGAUAAAAAGAGAACAUCAUUUUUGCUUCACUGUAUCACAGUUUGCAAAAUAAAAAAUAAUUAAUUUUGUUUUAUUUUGGUAUA